Molecule: transfer RNA, 133 nt
Rfam family: tRNA
About the family: Transfer RNA (tRNA) molecules are approximately 80 nucleotides in length. Their secondary structure includes four short double-helical elements and three loops (D, anti-codon, and T loops).
Source: Rfam
GGGGUUGUAGCGCAGUGGUAGCGCAUAUGCUUUGCAUCGAGCCUGACAUGGUCCAGACAUGUUUCCGGUCUUUAGGAAGGCUCGCCGACGUGCAGAAUGCAUGGGGUCGUCGGUUCGAACCCGGCCAACUCCA